GUUGAUGGGGGUUACCAGCUGAGAAUUAGGCGUCUUGAGGGUACCCCUAAUUAUGGUCCCCGACAGUUUUAUAAGCAAAACACAAUGUUCAAACUCGCAUAAUGGACAUGCUAUUUUUGUCCAUCGAGGAAUCUGACAGCCAAACAUUGUGCAUUUAGCUCAAAAGGAAUUAUAAGUCAAUGAUCUUGUCUUCCUUUGUUAGCACUAUACAAAUUAUGUUUUAAUUAAUAGUCAGUUGAAGUUAGAGCUUAAACUAUUUUGGUCUGUCCAUUUAGCUCAACCUUCUUUUGGCUAGGAAUAUACAAAUGUCUUGUAAGCCGGACUCCUCCAUGGGUCGGUAUAUAGUCCCGUAAGGACUUCUGUGCUUAAAUCUAUAGUUUUAGCAUGGUUUCUUGUAUUGUGUACACGAGACUGACACAAAACUAUUAAUCGUUUUAUACUAUUUGGGAUUUCUUUGGAAAGGUUAUUUGAGAAAUCGUGUAUGCUUGUUUUGUAAAAUUAGAAGGAAAAGAGAACAACUACGAAGUGUAUGGGGUUGCUAUUUACUUUGCAUGCAAUUUAGACAGUGUUUGACUGCCCUGCAUGAUGAUGUUGCUAUUUACUUUACGUGCAUUUUGACUAACGAUUUGUUGCUAUGUUCCUGAGGAUCUAUGGAUAUCUGCUUUCCUGUUGGUACUAAGGAAACCAACAAGAAAUUUUGGACUGCUACCUGGAUUAAUGCUCGAGAAAAAGGUGCAUGACAUCAAUAUUACUAUUCUAUUUGUUCUAUAGAACCUUAUGUGGAAACGUGCAUUACACAGUCCCAGCCUCCUAGAGACUAUAGAUUUUCAUUCACUACACUAAACCAGUUAACUUCCUUUCACACCGGUGCACCCAAGACAUGGUAUGCAGUCCCUAGGGACCGAGCCUCAGAGCUAGAGGAAGUUAUUCGUGUACAUGGAUAUGGAGGAAACCCUGACCGCCUUGCAUCGCUGGCAGUGCUUGGGGAGAAGACAACAUUGAUGUCUCCAGAUGUUCUUGUAGCCCGUGGUGUGCCCUGCUGUAGGUUAGUACUGUAUCCUGGAGAGUUUGUGGUGACAUUCCCAAGGGCAUACCACAUUGGGUUUAGUCAUGGAUGUAAGGAGGGCGUCCACAGGCUACGCCAUGCCUCCACCUCCGCAGAUCACGCCUACCUUGCCCCGCCCGCGACAGCCUGCAAGCAUUAAUGAAGUUAUCUGUUUUGCAAUAACUAUGUGGAGCAGUUUGAUCAUCACUGUCCAUGGGUCGGCCGGUGCAUAGGACUGAUUUUCAUUCACUACACUAAACCAGUUAACUUCCUUUCACACCGGUGCACCCAAGACAUGGUAUGCAGUCCCUAGGGACCGAGCCUCAGAGCUAGAGGAAGUUAUUCGUGUACAUGGAUAUGGAGGAAACCCUGACCGCCUUGCAUCGCUGGCAGUGCUUGGGGAGAAGACAACAUUGAUGUCUCCAGAUGUUCUUGUAGCCCGUGGUGUGCCCUGCUGUAGGUUAGUACUGUAUCCUGGAGAGUUUGUGGUGACAUUCCCAAGGGCAUACCACAUUGGGUUUAGUCAUGGAUGUAAGGAGGGCGUCCACAGGCUACGCCAUGCCUCCACCUCCGCAGAUCACGCCUACCUUGCCCCGCCCGCGACAGCCUGCAAGCAUUAAUGAAGUUAUCUGUUUUGCAAUAACUAUGUGGAGCAGUUUGAUCAUCACUGUCCAUGGGUCGGCCGGUGCAUAGGACUGGUGAUAACUCCAGUGCACAAGAAUCCGCUGAACAGGGUGGCGUUGAGCUGUAUGCAGAGGUGAACAACCAUGGGCUCUGCGCUAUUGCCCAGGCUGAGUCGUCUGCUAUAAGGUUCUCGGUGGACUCGCCAUGAGAAGGGCAUGUUAUGGUGUUCUCUGGUUUGUCAUCGAGAAUAGCUCUUUCUCUUCGGUCAAGGGUUUCACCAAUGGCUUGUAACAACUGGAUGUAGAAUGAUUUUUGUUUUUUUAACUGAUGUAGUGUGUUUUUGCAUUACACUCCAUUGCGGCUAUGGGGGCAGCACAUGUAGUGUGUAGUCAUCGUGAAUUUAAUAGUAACUAGCUCUGCAGUUGUGAUUGGUU
This is a long non-coding RNA of Zea mays, 2103 nucleotides long. RefSeq lists it as uncharacterized. Lineage: Eukaryota; Viridiplantae; Streptophyta; Magnoliopsida; Poales; Poaceae. The transcript has 12 exons. The record is from RefSeq and is a predicted model, not a curated record.